AUGGGUGAUGGGUGUGGAGCUGUGGUGAUGGGUACAGAACCAUGUCCAUGGGUGAUGGGUGUGGAGCCAUGGCCAUGGGUGGUGGGUGUGGAGCCAUGGCCAUGGGUGGUGGGUGAUGGGCCUCGGUGGUGGGCAAUGGGUGCUGAGCCUUGGAGAUGGGUGCUUGCCUUUGGGGACAUGGCCCUGGGCACUGGGUGCUGGGCACUGGGUAAUGGUCCUGCUACCGGGUGCUGGGCACUGGUACCAGGCACAGGGCACUGGGUGCUGGUGCUGGGUACUGGUCGCUGGUACUGGGCGGUAGUACUGGGAGUCAGUGCUGGGCACUGGUACUGGUUGUUGGGUGCUGGUACUGGGUGCUGGGCACUGGGUGCUGGUGCUGGGCACUGGACACCGGUACUGGGUACUGGGCAGUGCUACUGGGCACUGGUACUGGGUACAGUGUGCUGGAUGCUGGGCACUGGUACUGGUUGCUGGGUGCUGGUACUGGGCACUGGUACUGGGUGUUGUUGGUGGGCACUGGUACUGGGUACAGCAUGCUGGGUGCUGGUACUGGGCACUGGGCACUGAUACUGGUUACUGGUGCUGGUCACUGGUGCUGGGCACUGGUACUGGUCACUGGGCAGUGCUACUGGGCACUGGUGCUGUGCACUGGGCACUGAUACUGGUUACUGGUGCUGGGUACUGGGCAGUGGUACUGGGCACUGGGCACUGGUACUGGGCACUGGGCAGUGAUACUGGUGACUGGUACUGGUCACUGGUACUGGGUACAGUGUGCUGGAUGCUGGGCACUGGUACUGGUUGCUGGGUGCUGGUACUGGGCACUGGUACUGGGUGUUGGUGG
Molecule: long non-coding RNA, 841 nt
Filed under: Calidris pugnax (ruff)
Lineage: Eukaryota; Metazoa; Chordata; Aves; Charadriiformes; Scolopacidae
Description: lncRNA (ENSCPUG00000014691.1)
Source: RNAcentral